RNAcentral lists this ribosomal RNA (253 nucleotides) under uncultured bacterium. Its description in RNAcentral is "partial 16S ribosomal RNA". It matches the Rfam family "Bacterial small subunit ribosomal RNA", at positions 524 to 776 of the family's 1533-position model. The record is from RNAcentral.
UACAGAGACUGCAAGCGUUAUUCGGAUUCACUGGGCGUAAAGGGUGCGCAGGCGGCCAGGUGUGUCAGGUGUGAAAGCCCGGAGCUUAACUCCGGAAUUGCGCCUGAAACUACUUGGCUAGAGCAUUGGAGAGGGUAGCGGAAUUCACGGUGUAGCAGUGAAAUGCGUAGAUAUCGUGAGGAACACCAGAGGCGAAGGCGGCUACCUGGACAAUUGCUGACGCUCAGGCACGAAAGCUAGGGGAGCAAACGGG